GAUGAACGCUGGCGGCGUGCCUAAUACAUGCAAGUCGAGCGAACAGACGAGGAGCUUGCUCCUCUGACGUUAGCGGCGGACGGGUGAGUAACACGUGGAUAACCUACCUAUAAGACUGGGAUAACUUCGGGAAACCGGAGCUAAUACCGGAUAAUAUAUUGAACCGCAUGGUUCAAUAGUGAAAGACGGUUUUGCUGUCACUUAUAGAUAGAUCCGCGCCGCAUUAGCUAGUUGGUAAGGUAACGGCUUACCAAGGCAACGAUGCGUAGCCGACCUGAGAGGGUGAUCGGCCACACUGGAACUGAGACACGGUCCAGACUCCUACGGGAGGCAGCAGUAGGGAAUCUUCCGCAAUGGGCGAAAGCCUGACGGAGCAACGCCGCGUGAGUGAUGAAGGUCUUCGGAUCGUAAAACUCUGUUAUUAGGGAAGAGCAAAUGUGUAAGUAACUAUGCACGUCUUGACGGUACCUAAUCAGAAAGCCACGGCUAACUACGUG
RNAcentral lists this ribosomal RNA (497 nucleotides) under uncultured bacterium. RNAcentral's name for it is "partial 16S ribosomal RNA". It matches the Rfam family "Bacterial small subunit ribosomal RNA", at positions 28 to 507 of the family's 1533-position model. The record is from RNAcentral.